This is a long non-coding RNA of Xenia sp. Carnegie-2017, 330 nucleotides long. RefSeq lists it as uncharacterized. The record is from RefSeq and is a predicted model, not a curated record. Lineage: Eukaryota; Metazoa; Cnidaria; Anthozoa; Malacalcyonacea; Xeniidae. The transcript has 3 exons.
UAUUUGCAUUUUUAUUUGAGGGAGAAACUUUUCCUUCUUGUUUCAAUGUAAUAAACCAUAUUUAAUCAUUUGUACUUUGCUUGAAGUUUUCUCUUAUGCCAAAGAAGACAAGUACCUCCAAAGUUUGAAGGCUUCUACCAAGGUUAUUGCUGCCACCCUAGGGUGUGCACAUAAUCAUGACAUAACUGGACCCAGUCCUUCUGGCUGAUCUAUAUAGAGGUUUGAGAAAUUGGAGAUAAACUGUCGACAUGAUUACGAUUUUUUUCAAAGUUCUUUCAAACAUGGUAAUCCUCCUCCACGUUAUCAUUAUUAAAACAGAACAUUUCAUAA